This 528-nucleotide ribosomal RNA is filed under the name Triticum aestivum (bread wheat). Its description in RNAcentral is "partial small subunit ribosomal RNA". The record is from RNAcentral. Lineage: Eukaryota; Viridiplantae; Streptophyta; Magnoliopsida; Poales; Poaceae.
AUGCUCAUCCUGGGUGUUCCACGGGGUCAUAUCCGGGGGAGAAAACUUCAGAUCGUAAUCGAUCGUGGAGUCAUCCGGCAGCCUCAGCGUCUUGAUCCCAGGACACCGUGCUCGGAUCGCAGCAGCGCCCAUCCCAACGUUGAAGCAGUGGCGGAUGUCGAGAGACUCGAGGCGCGGGCAUCCGUCAAGGAUGGCCGCCAGCCCGUCGUCGCUGAGAGGGUUGGCGAAGAGCUGAAGCGACCGCAGCCCGCCCAUGGUGGCGAUGGCCAUGGCCUCCUGGUCGAUGUUCUUGGUGUUCCACUUGCAGAACUGCUUCUUGCUCAGACGGAAGCGCUUGAGGAGAGGGCAGGCGGUGCCGACGGCCUCGCACGUCCCCGGGUAGACGUCGGUGCAAAGCGAGAGCUCCAGCUCCUCCAGCAGGGAGAAGUUCGUGAUGGUGAGGCUGAGCCUCUCGUCGACGAUCCUGUCGCCGGAGAUGAUCCGGAGGCUCUUCAGCGAAGGCCUCGCACUGCCCCGCGGCACGCCUGA